RNA transcript from Sesamum indicum (sesame), 1512 nucleotides. It is a transcript of the gene named Golgi SNAP receptor complex member 1-2, with no coding region annotated. The record is from RefSeq and is a predicted model, not a curated record. Lineage: Eukaryota; Viridiplantae; Streptophyta; Magnoliopsida; Lamiales; Pedaliaceae.
AUGAACUUGACGUAACGUAUUUUAGGAAAAAAGAAACAAUUGGUAGCAAGGGGUAAAAGAGUAAUUAAAGUCAACCCGAAGCGCAGAUGCACUCGCUCGCAGGCGUAGUGGGCAACGAAAUAAGGAAACUGGAGUGUUAGAAACUGCAUCAGUCACCAACACUGUUGCGCACUCGGAUCCCGCGACCCGCCCAAUUCCAACUGUAGACAACUGACGGAUUUGGAUCGUAAUUAGUGUAUAGAACAAAGUAAGACGGCUCGGAAACCGGUUCGGGUCACUGUAGAUUCUGGUGCCCGAGGAUCCGAGUAUGGAUGUGUUGCAGGAAUCGGGCUGGGAAGAGCUCCGGAAAGAGGCUCGGAAAAUCGAAGGCGAUCUAGAUGUCAAGCUCUCGUCGUAUGCUAAGCUCGGCGCGCGUUUCACGCAAGGAGGAUUUGUCGAUGCUGGUUCACCAACUCUUGGGUCCAGCAGGUCGUGGAAGUCUAUGGAAAUGGAGAUUCAGUCAUUGCUUGAGAAGUUGCUGGAUAUAAAUGAUUCAAUGAGUCGGUGUGCUGCAUCUGCAGGGCCUGCUACUUCGGUUACUCAAAAGCUUGCAAGGCAUAGAGACAUAUUGCAUGAGUUUACGCAGGAAUUUAGACGUAUCAAGGGAAAUAUUAGCUCAAUGAGGGAACAUGCUGAACUUCUUAGUUCUGUUCGAGAUGAUAUCAGUGAGUACAAGGCUUCUGGGAAUGGGUCUCCAAGAAUGCAUUUGCUACGGGAAAGAGCUGCGAUACAUGGAAGCAUAUCUCAUAUUGAUGAUGUGAUUAGUCAAGCUCAAGCGACCAGAGCUGUCUUGGGCUCUCAAAGGGCCUUGUUUGGAGAUGUUCAAGGAAAAGUCAAGCUACUGGGUGACAAAUUUCCGGUCAUUCGUGGUCUAAUUGGUUCUAUCCGAAGAAAACGAUCAAGGGACACUCUCAUCCUCUCUGCAGUUAUUGCUGCUUGUACACUUUUCCUCAUCAUCUAUUGGCUUUCAAAGUGAAGGGACACUUGAUCUAUUCCGAUAACUGAAGGAAAAGAGGCUCUCUGAGCAAAUUUCCAGGCGUAGUUUAUCAGAACAAAAUUCUUUUCAAGUUCAACAGUCUGUGACCUGCCUAUUUCACGUUGUCUUAGCCAAUACUCUUUACAUGUACAGAAAGAAUGGUGCCAUUUUAGGGUAACUGUACCAGUUCCCAGCUGCUCCACCAAAGACGCCGACUUUGAAGUGUCUUGGAUCUUUCUUCUUGUCUUUGUUAUCUUUGAUCUAUGUGUGAACUUUUCCAGAACAUCCGAAUCUGCACCAAGUAUCAUGUUGUGUGCCAAUAUCUGACUAGAACUUGUAGAAGAUAAUAGCAUAUGUUUAUAAUUUUGAACAAUUCUGUGUAGUUACACUUCAUUGGACUGAUAGAGCUGUUGAAGGUACCAAUACAUUGUAUCGCUGUGGACUUACUGUUCCUGCAAUUAAAAUCAAGUCGUGACAGUCUGUAGCUGGUAACCCAA